GAUGAAGAACGUAGCGAAAUGCGAUAAGUAGUGUGAAUUGCAGAAUUCAGUGAAUCAUCGAAUCUUUGAACGCACAUUGCGCCCCUUGGUAUUCCAUGGGGCAUGCCUGUUCGAGCGUCAUCUACACCCUCAAGCUCUGCUUGGUGUUGGGCGUCUGUCCCGCCUCUGCGCGCGGACUCACCCCAAAUUCAUUGGCAGCGGUCCUUGCCUCCUCUCGCGCAGCACAUUGCGCUUCUCGAGGUGCGCGGCCCGCGUCCACGAAGCAACAUUACCGUCUUUGACCUCGGAUCAGGUAGGGAUACCCGCUGAACUUAAGCAUAUCAAUAAGCGGAGGA
This 335-nucleotide unclassified non-coding RNA is filed under the name soil metagenome. RNAcentral describes it as "partial contains 5.8S ribosomal RNA, internal transcribed spacer 2, and large subunit ribosomal RNA". The stretch from base 1 to 120 matches the Rfam family "5.8S ribosomal RNA", at positions 35 to 154 of the family's 154-position model. The record is from RNAcentral.